ACGGGGGGACUCCUACGGGAGGCAGCAGUGGGGAAUCUUGGACAAUGGGCGCAAGCCUGAUCCAGCCAUGCCGCGUGAGUGAAGAAGGCCUUAGGGUCGUAAAGCUCUUUCAACGGUGAAGAUAAUGACGGUAGCCGUAGAAGAAACCCCGGCUAACUCCGUGCCAGCAGCCGCGGUAAU
RNAcentral lists this ribosomal RNA (180 nucleotides) under uncultured bacterium. Its description in RNAcentral is "partial 16S ribosomal RNA". It matches the Rfam family "Bacterial small subunit ribosomal RNA", at positions 326 to 524 of the family's 1533-position model. The record is from RNAcentral.